CAACAGGGAUUGCCCCAGUAACGGCGAGUGAAGCGGCAACAGCUCAAAUUUGAAAUCUGGUCCCUAGGGCCCGAGUUGUAAUUUGUAGAGGAUGCUUUUGGUGAGGUGCCGCCCGAGUUCCCUGGAACGGGACGCCACAGAGGGUGAGAGCCCCGUCUGGCUGGCCGCCGAGCCUCUGUAAAGCUCCUUCGACGAGUCGAGUAGUUUGGGAAUGCUGCUCAAAAUGGGAGGUAUAUGUCUUCUAAAGCUAAAUAUUGGCCAGAGACCGAUAGCGCACAAGUAGAGUGAUCGAAAGAUGAAAAGCACCUUGAAAAGAGGGUUAAAUAGUACGUGAAAUUGUUGAAAGGGAAGCGCUUGUGACCAGACUUGGGCGCGGCGGAUCAUCCGGGGUUCUCUCCGGUGCACUUCGCCGCGUCUAGGCCAGCAUCAGUUCGUCGCGGGGGAAAAAGGCUUCGGGAACGUGGCUCCUCCGGGAGUGUUAUAGCCCGUUGCAUAAUACCCUGCGGUGGACUGAGGACCGCGCAUCUGCAAGGAUGCUGGCGUAAUGGUCACCAGCGACCCGUCUUGAAACACGGACCAAGGAGUCGUCUUCGUAUGCGAGUGUUCGGGUGUCAAACCCCUACGCGUAAUGAAAGUGAACGCAGGUGAGAGCUUCGGCGCAUCAUCGACCGAUCCUGAUGUUCUCGGAUGGAUUUGAGUAAGAGCAUACGGGGCCGGACCCGAAAGAAGGUGAACUAUGCCUGUAUAGGGUGAAGCCAGAGGAAACUCUGGUGGAGGCUCGCAGCGGUUCUGACGUGCAAAUCGAUCGUCAAAUAUGGGCAUGGGGGCGAAAGACUAAUCGA
RNAcentral lists this ribosomal RNA (842 nucleotides) under Trichoderma harzianum. Its description in RNAcentral is "eukaryotic LSU rRNA". It matches the Rfam family "Eukaryotic large subunit ribosomal RNA", at positions 66 to 938 of the family's 3401-position model. Lineage: Eukaryota; Fungi; Ascomycota; Sordariomycetes; Hypocreales; Hypocreaceae. The record is from RNAcentral.